UAGGGAAUCUUCCACAAUGGACGCAAGUCUGAUGGAGCAACGCCGCGUGAGUGAAGAAGGUCUUCGGAUCGUAAAGCUCUGUUGUUGGUGAAGAAGGAUAGAGGCAGUAACUGGUCUUUAUUUGACGGUAAUCAACCAGAAAGUCACGGCUAACUACGUGCCAGCAGCCGCGGUAAUACGUAGGCGGCAAGCGUUGUCCGGAUUUAUUGGGCGUAAAGCGAGCGCAGGCGGAAUGAUAAGUCUGAUGUGAAAGCCCACGGCUCAACCGUGGAACUGCAUCGGAAACUGUCAUUCUUGAGUGCAGAAGAGGAGAGUGGAACUCCAUGUGUAGCGGUGGAAUGCGUAGAUAUAUGGAAGAACACCAGUGGCGAAGGCGGCUCUCUGGUCUGCAACUGACGCUGAGGCUCGAAAAGCAUGGGUAGCGAACAGGAUUAGAUACCCUGGUAGUCCAUGCCGUAAACGAUGAGCGCUAGGUGUUGGGG
Molecule: ribosomal RNA, 482 nt
Filed under: uncultured bacterium
Lineage: Bacteria
Description: partial 16S ribosomal RNA
Rfam family: Bacterial small subunit ribosomal RNA
Source: RNAcentral